Molecule: long non-coding RNA, 1450 nt
Organism: Homo sapiens (human)
Lineage: Eukaryota; Metazoa; Chordata; Mammalia; Primates; Hominidae
Gene: MIR663AHG
Product: MIR663A host gene
Source: Ensembl
GAUUCCCUGAGCCUUGACAAAGCAGGAGCCCUCCGUGGCGGUGCGUCGGUGUCGAGGCUCCAGUCUGACUAAUCCAGGGGGUCGACAAAACAGAUUCGGGACACUAUGCUACACGGAGGGCCUACCAGGAUGCAGAAACAGCAGACGGAGUCCAGGGAAAGCAGUGCGGCAUCCCAGCCUCAGGCCUGCCCGUACGGUGUUCGGAAAUACUAGGCUUUAGAAUUUCACCAUAUGAAUUUUGGGAGAGAGGAGCACAGUUCAGCCCAUAACUAACACACGUGAUGAAGAAGACAUGCCAACAGAGGGUUAAUUCCAGAUAAAAUGAAAUGUUCCAAACAGUACGUUUGGUUAUUUGAUUCAUCUGUGGGGGAAGGAAAGAUAAUUUUCCAAAGGACAUUCCUCCUAAAUUCUGUCUUAAAGUUGUUUACGGAAUGAAGUUGAUAAUAGUGAGACCUUGUUGGUACAAGACUAUGUAACAUAACCUGCGCUUCUCAACAAAGAAUUGCUUUUCUGACUUCUGCACUCAAUAGCAAGACAAAUCUCUCCUCUGCCUUCUCCUUAUCAGACUACUCAACAUGAAGGCAAUAAGAAUGAAGACCUCUAUGUAUAAUAAUUGACUUCCACUUAAUAAAUAAGGUUACUUGGUACACUGGUCGACAAAACCUUGAAAUGUUGAUGUUUAAGGGCUGUUGAUUGCUGGCAGCAAAGAAGUCCAACUGUGCUGGUACCCGAGAUAGCGUCUCCACAUUUUCUUCCAGGAUCAUCACCUUUGUUCUAAAUAGCUCCCACAUAGUGUGAACAGAAGUCAUAUGUUUUAGAUUUUCUGCCUUGGCACCCAGGAAACCAGUAUGAUUGAGUAAACAUAUUAAACUUCCUCUGCAUUUCCAGCCUGAACAGAUGUUGAGUACAAGCUGAUCCACCUACGUUCAACCUGAGAGAGUCCACAUCCACAGACUGUUUCAUUUCCCUUUUUCAAUUUACAUAGAAGCAUAGAUUCUUGCUGGCAUAUACAAAUGCGCCAUUUAAGGCAAUCAAAAAUGGUUCCACAUCUCAUCUGAUUUCCACAAUUGUUGCUGUAACGAUGGACUACUGAGGAGAGAGACAAUUUCUCUGGCACAUCUUCCCACAUUUUAGCAACAUGUUCAUGGAGAGCCAAUAUUCAGUAAUUACAGCCCAAUUCCUCACAAUUUCACAAUUCGCUAACAAUAUGCAUUUUCACAAUGUAAAGCUGAUUUUCCUUUAACCAAAUCAAACAUGAAAAGAUAGCUGCAUGCAAUGGGCAAUCUAGAUCAUUAGAAGAUUGAUGUAAAAUUAGAGGACACUGAGACUGGAAUAGAUUGCAAACUUCAGGGAGCUCAGAAAACUUGUAAACUCUACAUUUUGAGGAAAUAUGUUGUCGAUGCUUUUGCAACUCUAUGCAGUAACUUAACAAAUAAAGCCUUAAAGUAAC